GCCGCCAAGAUGGUACAUAAACGCACCUGAGGAC
Molecule: transfer RNA, 34 nt
Filed under: Nomonyx dominicus (Masked duck)
Lineage: Eukaryota; Metazoa; Chordata; Aves; Anseriformes; Anatidae
Description: Nomonyx dominica partial tRNA-Phe
Source: RNAcentral